AUAUGGCGGGAGAAGAUAGCCGUGAAGCUCAACGAGGCGACGAAUAUGAGGAAUCGAGUCCUCUCUUGAAGGUGAACGAGAAUGACGGCAAGAUCUG
Molecule: small RNA, 97 nt
Filed under: Arabidopsis thaliana (thale cress)
Lineage: Eukaryota; Viridiplantae; Streptophyta; Magnoliopsida; Brassicales; Brassicaceae
Description: ATSL121290
Source: RNAcentral